RNAcentral lists this unclassified non-coding RNA (203 nucleotides) under Hevea brasiliensis (rubber tree). The record is from RNAcentral. Lineage: Eukaryota; Viridiplantae; Streptophyta; Magnoliopsida; Malpighiales; Euphorbiaceae.
GAGCACUCAUGUUGCACCGUAUGUGUCUAUUGCUUGAGAUUUAUUGUGCUUUAAGUUGCUACAUUCAUGAUCUGAAAAAGAUGUUAGUUGAUGGACAUAGACUUGGCCAUGGUCCGGUUUGGAAUCAGAACUGAACUGGUGCUAACCAGAACCAGAACUGAAACUGGUCAAACCCAUAUCGGCUGAAACCAGACCGAACUGGU